Molecule: unclassified non-coding RNA, 547 nt
Filed under: Cladosporium allicinum
Lineage: Eukaryota; Fungi; Ascomycota; Dothideomycetes; Cladosporiales; Cladosporiaceae
Description: sequence contains 18S rRNA gene, ITS1, 5.8S rRNA gene, ITS2, 28S rRNA gene
Rfam family: 5.8S ribosomal RNA (bases 197-350)
Source: RNAcentral
GUAACAAGGUCUCCGUAGGUGAACCUGCGGAGGGAUCAUUACAAGAACGCCCGGGCUUCGGCCUGGUUAUUCAUAACCCUUUGUUGUCCGACUCUGUUGCCUCCGGGGCGACCCUGCCUUCGGGCGGGGGCUCCGGGUGGACACUUCAAACUCUUGCGUAACUUUGCAGUCUGAGUAAACUUAAUUAAUAAAUUAAAACUUUUAACAACGGAUCUCUUGGUUCUGGCAUCGAUGAAGAACGCAGCGAAAUGCGAUAAGUAAUGUGAAUUGCAGAAUUCAGUGAAUCAUCGAAUCUUUGAACGCACAUUGCGCCCCCUGGUAUUCCGGGGGGCAUGCCUGUUCGAGCGUCAUUUCACCACUCAAGCCUCGCUUGGUAUUGGGCAACGCGGUCCGCCGCGUGCCUCAAAUCGUCCGGCUGGGUCUUCUGUCCCCUAAGCGUUGUGGAAACUAUUCGCUAAAGGGUGUUCGGGAGGCUACGCCGUAAAACAACCCCAUUUCUAAGGUUGACCUCGGAUCAGGUAGGGAUACCCGCUGAACCUAAGCAUAU